UUAUUAAUGAUCUUAAGUUCAAUCGUACCUCACAAAUAAGACACAUAGAAGUCUCAAACCUCAUGAUUCAAUUUUAUACAAUAACAUGUCAGGUUGAUGACUUGCCAGCUGCAAAUAACGUUUCUUCUCAACUGCAAUCAAAUUCGGAUCAAUUCGAUUUGAUCCAAUCCGAUUUAAAUAUAUGUGGAUCGGAUUUGGAUUGAUCGUCAAAUCUGAUCGGACAGAAAAUUUACAAUCCAGUUGGAUUUGAUUCGGAUAGGAUUGGAUUCGAAUCAAUUUGAUCGGAUCGGAUGUGAUCGGAUUGGAUCACAUUGUGCCUUACACGUACUCGCUGUGCUUGCUGUUUGAAAAUUUGAAAAUUUAUUUUUUCAUAAUUAUGUUAAAUGUGCUAAAAAAAUUGUUUGAAAUUUACAGAAAGUUGAGUGUUGUUUAGUGAUUUAUUAUGACGGUUUGAACGAUUUACAUGAAUCUAUUGUCAAUAACAAGAACUGUGAAUUAUGUAGUUUAAGAAAAUUUAAGUGCUUAGUUUCUGGUUCAAGCAUUCAUAUGACUGUAUAUAUGUUUUGUGCAGGUGCUUUGAAGGAUCCCUUCUUGUUCUUGAGUGUAUAUAUGGUGAGCCAUUUUAUUGAUCUCGUUCAUUCCCCCCCCACCCAACCUUAAUUUUAUCAUUUUUUUUCUGUAUUGAAUUAUUUAUGAACGAAAUGAACCAAAAACCAAUCGGGAAAUAAGAUAAAUAAGAUGCCAUAUGUCUAGGAAUGCGUAGAUUGUCAGGAGAACUCACCAAAAUAUAAUGCACAUUUAGCUACAAAUUGACUAUAAUUAUCCUUCGACUUGA
This 835-nucleotide long non-coding RNA is filed under the name Citrus sinensis (sweet orange). Its description in RNAcentral is "long non-coding RNA (CSIN_LNC003234)". Lineage: Eukaryota; Viridiplantae; Streptophyta; Magnoliopsida; Sapindales; Rutaceae. The record is from RNAcentral.